AAACGACUCUCGGCAACGGAUAUCUCGGCUCUCGCAUCGAUGAAGAACGUAGCGAAAUGCGAUACUUGGUGUGAAUUGCAGAAUCCCGUGAACCAUCGAGUCUUUGAACGCAAGUUGCGCCCCAAACCUUCUGGUCGAGGGCACGUCUGCCUGGGUGUCACAA
This 163-nucleotide ribosomal RNA is filed under the name Thysanocarpus curvipes. Its description in RNAcentral is "5.8S ribosomal RNA". It matches the Rfam family "5.8S ribosomal RNA". From Rfam's summary of the family: 5.8S ribosomal RNA (5.8S rRNA) is a component of the large subunit of the eukaryotic ribosome. It is transcribed by RNA polymerase I as part of the 45S precursor that also contains 18S and 28S rRNA. The record is from RNAcentral. Lineage: Eukaryota; Viridiplantae; Streptophyta; Magnoliopsida; Brassicales; Brassicaceae.